RNAcentral lists this transfer RNA (75 nucleotides) under Finegoldia magna. Its description in RNAcentral is "tRNA-Gly". It matches the Rfam family "tRNA". Rfam says of the family: Transfer RNA (tRNA) molecules are approximately 80 nucleotides in length. The record is from RNAcentral. RNAcentral also lists the same sequence under 26 other names. Lineage: Bacteria; Bacillati; Bacillota; Tissierellia; Tissierellales; Peptoniphilaceae.
GCGGAAGUGGCUCAGUGGUAGAGCAUCGCCUUGCCAAGGCGAGGGUCGCGAGUUCGAGUCUCGUCUUCCGCUCCA